This 841-nucleotide long non-coding RNA is filed under the name Homo sapiens (human). RNAcentral describes it as "long non-coding RNA NONHSAT179699.1". Lineage: Eukaryota; Metazoa; Chordata; Mammalia; Primates; Hominidae. The record is from RNAcentral.
CUCCUCCACUCUGAACACCUGGGUCCCAGUGAAUUGGAAGCCCCUGCCCCUGGGGGCAGCAGCGAGGACAAGGGUGGGCUGCAGCCUCCAGAUUCCAAGGAUGACACCCCCAUGACCCUUCCAAAAGGGUCCACAGAACAAGAUGCUGCAUCCCCUGAGAAAGAGAAGAUGAACCCGCUGGAACAGUAUGAGCGAAAGGUGAAUGCGUCUGUUCCAAGGGGUUUCCCUUUCCACUCAUCGGAGAUUCAGAGGGAUGAGCUGCUGGGACAGGGGUGUCCCGUGAGGCUGUGUCGGGUCUGCUGAUCAUGGGAGCGGGCGGAGGCUCCCUCAUCGUCCUCUCCAUGCUGCUCCUGCGCAGGAAGAAGCCCUACGGGGCUAUCAGCCAUGGCGUGGUGGACCCCAUGCUGACCCUGGAGGAGCAGCAGCUCCGCGAACUGCAGCGGCACGGCUAUGAGAACCCCACUUACCGCUUCCUGGAGGAACGACCCUGACCCGGCCCCCUUCACCCCUUCAGCCGAGCCCAGACCUCCCCUCUUCCUGGAGCCCCAGAACCCCAACUCCCAGCCUAGGGCAGCAGGGAGUCUUGAAGUGAUCAUUUCACACCCUUUUGUGAGACGGCUGGAAAUUCUUAUUUCCCCUUUCCAAUUCCAAAAUUCCAUCCCUAAGAAUUCCCAGAUAGUCCCAGCAGCCUCCCCACGUGGCACCUCCUCACCUUAAUUUAUUUUUUAAGUUUAUUUAUGGCUCUUUAAGGUGACCGCCACCUUGGUCCUAGUGUCUAUUCCCUGGAAUUCACCCUCUCAUGUUUCCCUACUAACAUCCCAAUAAAGUCCUCUUCCCUACC